AGGACGAACGCUGGCGGCGUGCUUAACACAUGCAAGUCGAGCGGAAAGGCCCUUCGGGGUACUCGAGCGGCGAACGGGUGAGUAACACGUGAGUAAUCUGCCUUCAGCUCUGGGAUAGCUCCGGGAAACCGGGAUUAAUACCGGAUAUGACCACUUCGGACAUCUGUUGUGGUGGAAAGUUUUUCGGCUGGAGAUGAGCUCGCGGCCUAUCAGCUUGUUGGUGGGGUAACGGCCUACCAAGGCGACGACGGGUAGCCGGCCUGAGAGGGCGACCGGCCACACUGGGACUGAGACACGGCCCAGACUCCUACGGGAGGCAGCAGUGGGGAAUAUUGCGCAAUGGGCGGAAGCCUGACGCAGCGACGCCGCGUGGGGGAUGAAGGCCGUUCGGUUGUAAACCCCUUUCAGCAGGGACGAAGCGGAAGUGACGGUACCUGCAGAAGAAGCGCCGGCUAACUACGUGCCAGCACGCCGC
Molecule: ribosomal RNA, 475 nt
Filed under: uncultured bacterium
Lineage: Bacteria
Description: SSU rRNA
Rfam family: Bacterial small subunit ribosomal RNA
Source: RNAcentral